This 520-nucleotide ribosomal RNA is filed under the name uncultured Glomus. RNAcentral describes it as "SSU rRNA". It matches the Rfam family "Eukaryotic small subunit ribosomal RNA", at positions 569 to 1097 of the family's 1831-position model. The record is from RNAcentral. Lineage: Eukaryota; Fungi; Glomeromycota; Glomeromycetes; Glomerales; Glomeraceae.
AGCAGCCGCGGUAAUUCCAGCUCCAAUAGCGUAUAUUAAAGUUGUUGCAGUUAAAAAGCUCGUAGUUGAAUUUCGGGAUUAGUACGUUGGUCGUGCCUUAGGUACGUACUGGUGUUACUGGUUCCUACCUUCUGACGAACCAUCAUGUCAUUAAUUUGGUGUGGCGGGGAAUCAGGACUGUUACUUUGAAAAAAUUAGAGUGUUUAAAGCAGGCUCGCGCUUGAAUACAUUAGCAUGGAAUAAUGAAAUAGGACGUUGACCCGUAUUUUGUUGGUUUCUAGGAUUGACGUAAUGAUUAAUAGGGAUAGUUGGGGGCAUUAGUAUUCAAUUGUCAGAGGUGAAAUUCUUGGAUUUAUUGAAGACUAACUACUGCGAAAGCAUUUGCCAAGGAUGUUUUCAUUAAUCAAGAACGAAAGUUAGGGAUCGAAGACGAUCAGAUACCGUCGUAGUCUUAACCNUAAACUAUGCCGACUAGGGAUCGGAUGAUGUAUUUUUANGACUCAUUCGCGCUUACGGGAAA